GAUGAACGCUGGCGGCGUGCCUAAUACAUGCAAGUCGAGCGAAGCGGGGACGGGUGAGUAACACGUAGAUAACCUCCUAUACGACUGGGAUAACUUCCGGAAACCGGAGCUAAACCGGAUAAUUAUCGAUGGAGCCGGGCUGCAUUAGCUAGUGGGUAAGGUAACGGCUUACCAAGGCAACGAUGCAUCGCCGACCUGAGAGGAUGAUCUGCCACACUGGAACUGAGACACGGUCCAGACUCCUACGGGAGGCAGCAGGAGGGAAUCUUCCGCAAUGGGCGAAAGCCUGACGGAGAAAUGCCGCGUGAGUGAAGAAGGUCUUCGGAUCGUAAAACUCUGUUAUUAGGGAAGCGGUACCUAAUCAGAAAGCCACGGCUAACUACGUGCCAGCAGCCGCGGUAAUAC
RNAcentral lists this ribosomal RNA (405 nucleotides) under uncultured bacterium. RNAcentral describes it as "partial 16S ribosomal RNA". It matches the Rfam family "Bacterial small subunit ribosomal RNA", at positions 28 to 526 of the family's 1533-position model. The record is from RNAcentral.